This 29-nucleotide small RNA is filed under the name Bombyx mori (domestic silkworm). RNAcentral describes it as "ovarian small RNA-23568". Lineage: Eukaryota; Metazoa; Arthropoda; Insecta; Lepidoptera; Bombycidae. The record is from RNAcentral.
UAUCCAGAGUGGUGCGGAUUUGGUCGGGU